Molecule: ribosomal RNA, 397 nt
Filed under: uncultured bacterium
Lineage: Bacteria
Description: bacterial SSU rRNA
Rfam family: Bacterial small subunit ribosomal RNA
Source: RNAcentral
GAACGAGAUCUUCGGAUCUAGUGGCGCACGGGUGCGUAACGCGUGGGAAUCUGCCCUUGGGUUCGGAAUAACUUCGGGAAACUGAAGCUAAUACCGGAUGAUGACGUAAGUCCAAAGAUUUAUCGCCCGAGGAUGAGCCCGCGUAGGAUUAGGUAGUUGGUGUGGUAAAGGCGCACCAAGCCUACGAUCCUUAGCUGGUCUGAGAGGAUGAUCAGCCACACUGGGACUGAGACACGGCCCAGACUCCUACGGGAGGCAGCAGUGGGGAAUAUUGGACAAUGGGCGAAAGCCUGAUCCAGCAAUGCCGCGUGAGUGAUGAAGGCCUUAGGGUUGUAAAGCUCUUUUACCCGGGAUGAUAAUGACAGUACCGGGAGAAUAAGCUCCGGCUAACUCCGUG